GGGCCUAUAGCUCAGUCGGUUAGAGCGCUUCCCUGAUAAGGAAGAGGUCGGAAGUUCAAGUCUUCCUAGGCCCA
This 74-nucleotide transfer RNA is filed under the name Kineosporiaceae bacterium. RNAcentral describes it as "tRNA-Ile". It matches the Rfam family "tRNA". Rfam says of the family: Transfer RNA (tRNA) molecules are approximately 80 nucleotides in length. Their secondary structure includes four short double-helical elements and three loops (D, anti-codon, and T loops). Further hydrogen bonds mediate the characteristic L-shaped molecular structure. tRNAs have two regions of fundamental functional importance: the anti-codon, which is responsible for specific mRNA codon recognition, and the 3' end, to which the tRNAs corresponding amino acid is attached (by aminoacyl-tRNA synthetases). tRNAs cope with the degeneracy of the genetic code in two manners: having more than one tRNA (with a specific anti-codon) for a particular amino acid; and 'wobble' base-pairing, i.e. permitting non-standard base-pairing at the 3rd anti-codon position. The record is from RNAcentral. RNAcentral also lists the same sequence under 1 other name. Lineage: Bacteria; Bacillati; Actinomycetota; Actinomycetes; Kineosporiales; Kineosporiaceae.